GGGCACUGUGGGCAAGCAGGCCAGGUAUGGAAGGGGGUGGAAGCGUUAAUCGGGAUUACUGGGCGGAAAGCUAGCGUAGGUGGCUUGAUAAGUCAGAUGUGAAAUCCCCUGGCUUAACCUGGGAACUGCGUCGGAGACUGUUAAGCUAUAGUAGGUGAGAGGGAAGUAGAAUUCCAGGUGGAGCGGUGAAGUGCGUAGAGAUCUGGAGGAAUACCGAUGGCGAAGGCAGCUUCCUGGCAUCAUACUGACACUGAGGCUCGAAAGCGUGGGUAGCAAACAGGAUUAGAUACCCCUGUAGUC
RNAcentral lists this ribosomal RNA (300 nucleotides) under uncultured Desulfurococcus sp. RNAcentral describes it as "bacterial SSU rRNA". It matches the Rfam family "Bacterial small subunit ribosomal RNA", at positions 496 to 795 of the family's 1533-position model. The record is from RNAcentral. Lineage: Archaea; Thermoproteati; Thermoproteota; Thermoprotei; Desulfurococcales; Desulfurococcaceae.